This 1066-nucleotide long non-coding RNA is filed under the name Homo sapiens (human). RNAcentral describes it as "HSALNT0378075". Lineage: Eukaryota; Metazoa; Chordata; Mammalia; Primates; Hominidae. The record is from RNAcentral.
CUUCCCUUCUGCUACCUACAAAAGCCCCCUGACAUAGCACUCUUGUCAUACUGAGACUAAGGUAGAAAAAGACACUUCCAAAGGGUGUCAAUGACAAGAGAGAAAUAGACAUAGAGUGGUCACUUCAUUUACCAACCCUGGAACCGCAGACCUCUGGGCUUCCUGAUGGAGUCUCACCCAGCCUGGAGUACAGUAGUAUGAUCUGCAACCUUUGCCUCCCAGGUUCAGGCGAUUCUCCUGUCUCAGCCUCCGGAGUAUCUGGGAUUACAGGCACGUGCCACCACGCCCGGCUAAUUUUUUGUAUUUUUAGUAGAGAUGGGUUUCACCGUGUUAGCCAGGAUGGUCUCGAACUCCUGACCUCGUGAUCUACCCGCCUUGGCCUCCCAAAGUGCUGGGAUUACAGGCAUGAGCUACCGUGCUCGGCCAUGCCUGGCUAAUUUAUAUAUACAUAUAUAUAUAUAUAUAUAUUUUUUUUUUUUUUUUUUUUUUUUUGAGACAGAGUCUUGCUCUGUCACCCAGGUUGGAGUGCAGUGGCAUGAUCUCGGCUCACUGCAAGCUCGCCUCCCAGGUUCACGCCAUUCUCCUGCCUCAGCCUCCUGAGUAGCUGGGACUACAGGCGCCCGCAUGACGCCCGGCUAAUUUUUUGUAUUUUUAGUAGAGACGGGGUUUCACUGUGUUAGCCAGGAUGGUCUCGAUCUCCUGACCUCGUGAUCUGCCCACCUCAGCCUCCGAAAGUGCUGGGAUUACAGACAUGAGCCACCGCACCCAGCCUUAUAUAUAUAUUUUUUAUUAGUGAAGAGGUUUCGCCAUAUUGGCCAGACUGGUCUCGAACUCCUGACCUCAGGUGAUCCACCCACCUCGGCCUCCCAAAGUGCUGGGAUUACAGGUGGGAGCCACCGCACCCUGCCUAAAAUGCAAAAGAUUUUGAAUGGCGAGAAUGGCGACAUGAUGCCACAAGUGGAAAAUUCCACACCUGGCUGCAUGUAAUGGGUUGAAGUCAAAAUGCAGUCAAAAACUUUGUUUCAUGUACAAAAUUAUUAAAAACAUUGUAUAAAAUCACCUUCAG